Neofelis nebulosa (Clouded leopard) is the source of this 528-nucleotide long non-coding RNA. RefSeq lists it as uncharacterized. Lineage: Eukaryota; Metazoa; Chordata; Mammalia; Carnivora; Felidae. The record is from RefSeq and is a predicted model, not a curated record. The transcript has 4 exons.
GCGCGAGGCGAGGUUGGCGCGAGGCGGCGGCAAGGCAGCUGCGGAGGCGCGGGGUGACGCAGCGGCUCCAGGCGGCGAGGCGGCCACGCUCCGGCCGGGUCCCCACUGCUCCAGGCGGCGCCAUGGAUGAGGCCGUGGGCCACCUUAAGCAAGCGCCGCCCUGCGUUGCCGAGGCGCCGAAUGUCCACUUGGAGGUGCACCAGAGGAGCACAGCCCUGCCAAAAAAGAACAUACUAAGCUGAGCGUUAGAAAGCUGAUCAACAGACAUAACAUUUUGUUUGGUGACUACAUGUGGACCGAGUUUGAUGAUCCUUUUCUGAGCAGAAACGUGCAGUGUGUGUCUAUUGUUGCCACAGAGUUGAAGGUUCAAGACCCACAGGGAAAUCAUCUUUUGGGAUCUUAUGAAGAACUUCUUAUGUGAACAAGUAUUUAUUGAACACCUCCAUUGUGCUAUGCACUCUUCUAAGCAAUGAGCAUCAUUGGUGCUUCACGGAAAAAAAAAAUGUGGUUGCUCUCAAAGAACCUAUA